AUACGUAGGUGACAAGCGUUAUCCGGAUUUACUGGGCGUAAAGGGCGUGUAGGCGGUCUUGCAAGUCAGAAGUGAAAUUCCUGAGCUCAACUCGGGCGCUGCUUCUGAAACUGCAGGACUUGAGUGCUGGAGGGGAUAGCGGAAUUCCUAGUGGAGCGGUAAAAUGCGCAGAUAUUAUGAAGAACACCGGUGGCGAAGGCGGCUAUCUGGACAGUCACGUACUCUGGGUCGCGAAAGCGUGGGUAACCAACAGGAUUAGAUCCCCUGGUAGUCCACGCCGUAAACGAUGAAUACUAGGUGUAGUGGGUAUCGACUCCCGCUGUGCCGCAGUUAACACAAUAAGUAUUUCGCCUGGGGAGUACGGCCUCAAGGUUGAAACUCAAAUGAAUUGACGGGG
RNAcentral lists this ribosomal RNA (397 nucleotides) under uncultured bacterium. RNAcentral's name for it is "partial 16S ribosomal RNA". It matches the Rfam family "Bacterial small subunit ribosomal RNA", at positions 523 to 918 of the family's 1533-position model. The record is from RNAcentral.